GCUCUCGUCGUUCAACGGAUAGGAUAGCCCCCUCCGAAGGGGCCGAUGACGGUUCGAUUCCGUCCGAGAGCACCA
This 75-nucleotide transfer RNA is filed under the name Candidatus Kaiserbacteria bacterium CG10_big_fil_rev_8_21_14_0_10_56_12. RNAcentral's name for it is "tRNA-Arg". It matches the Rfam family "tRNA". From Rfam's summary of the family: Transfer RNA (tRNA) molecules are approximately 80 nucleotides in length. The record is from RNAcentral. Lineage: Bacteria; Candidatus Kaiseribacteriota. RNAcentral also lists the same sequence under 2 other names.